UUUUGGUGUUAUCCGAUGACUUUUUCUUCGCUUGAUGGACGGUUUGGGUAACGUUUCGGCGUCUAUAACCUUACUCCGGUGAGUUUCAGAACCUAGGGUUUUCCGGUGUUGGACCUAGGGUUUUCUCUGUUGAUUGAAGGCCAAUCUUCUCCGUUCGCGAAGAAGGAGGGUAACUCUGUCCUUAUUUUGGGUAUUGUAUGCUUUGUGUGUGACUAUCUGGUUCCAUAUGUGAGUAUCUGGUUCCGUUAUAUUUUGCUUGUCGAAACUGUUUUUCUUUCAAGCUGGUUCAUUAAUCAUGGCUUCUAAUUCCACUGCUGGUACCUCCUCCUCGGUAGACUCUACCAUGGCUUCUUUGUACUAUAUUGUACAGUGUUUACAAUAUAGUGCUUAAUGAUGAGAAACAGAGACAAGUUCAAUCUAUUUCUCA
This 427-nucleotide long non-coding RNA is filed under the name Nicotiana benthamiana. RNAcentral's name for it is "long non-coding RNA (NBEN_LNC018125)". The record is from RNAcentral. Lineage: Eukaryota; Viridiplantae; Streptophyta; Magnoliopsida; Solanales; Solanaceae.